This 584-nucleotide ribosomal RNA is filed under the name Rhodosporidiobolus ruineniae. Its description in RNAcentral is "partial large subunit ribosomal RNA". It matches the Rfam family "Eukaryotic large subunit ribosomal RNA", at positions 54 to 650 of the family's 3401-position model. The record is from RNAcentral. Lineage: Eukaryota; Fungi; Basidiomycota; Microbotryomycetes; Sporidiobolales; Sporidiobolaceae.
AGGAAAAGAAACUAACAAGGAUUCCCCUAGUAGCGGCGAGCGAAGCGGGAAGAGCUCAAAUUUAUAAUCUGGCGCUUUCGGCGUCCGAGUUGUAAUCUCUAGAAGUGUUUUCCGCGUUGGACCGCACAUAAGUCUGUUGGAAUACAGCGGCACAGUGGUGAGACCCCCGUUCACGGUGCGGAUGCCCAAUGCUUUGUGAUACACUUUCGAAGAGUCGAGUUGUUUGGGAAUGCAGCUCAAAUUGGGUGGUAAAUUCCAUCUAAAGCUAAAUAUUGGCGAGAGACCGAUAGCGAACAAGUACCGUGAGGGAAAGAUGAAAAGCACUUUGGAAAGAGAGUUAACAGUACGUGAAAUUGUUGGAAGGGAAACGCUUGAAGUCAGACUUGCUAUUCGGGGCUUGCUCCGAGUUGCAGGCCAGCAUCAGUUUUUCGGGGCGGAAAAUCACGGAUUGAAGGUAGCAGUUUCGGCUGUGUUAUAGCUUUCCGUUGGAUACGUCCUGGGGGACUGAGGAACGCAGUGUGCUUUUAGCGAGGGCUUCGGCUCUUUCACACUUAGGAUGCUGGUGGAAUGGCUUUAAACGACCC